UCCGGUUUGUCACCGGCAGUCUCAUUAGAGUGCCCUUUCGUAGCAACUAAUGACAAGGGUUGCGCUCGUUGCGGGACUUAACCCAACAUCUCACGACACGAGCUGACGACAGCCAUGCAGCACCUGUGUAAUGGUUCCCUUUCGGGCACUCCUCAAUCUCUCGAGGAUUCCAUCCAUGUCAAGGGUAGGUAAGGUUUUUCGCGUUGCAUCGAAUUAAUCCACAUCAUCCACCGCUUGUGCGGGUCCCCGUCAAUUCCUUUGAGUUUUAAUCUUGCGACCGUACUCCCCAGGCGGAAUGCUUAAUGCGUUAGCUACGGCACGGAUCCCGUGGAAGGAAACCCACACCUAGCGCCCACCGUUUACGGCGUGGACUAC
This 375-nucleotide unclassified non-coding RNA is filed under the name uncultured Gammaproteobacteria bacterium. RNAcentral describes it as "contains 16S-23S intergenic spacer region". The record is from RNAcentral. Lineage: Bacteria; Pseudomonadati; Pseudomonadota; Gammaproteobacteria.